RNAcentral lists this ribosomal RNA (121 nucleotides) under Streptomyces glaucescens. Its description in RNAcentral is "partial 16S rRNA". It matches the Rfam family "Bacterial small subunit ribosomal RNA", at positions 162 to 283 of the family's 1533-position model. The record is from RNAcentral. Lineage: Bacteria; Bacillati; Actinomycetota; Actinomycetes; Kitasatosporales; Streptomycetaceae.
UCUAAUACCGGAUACUGAUUGUGUUGGGCAUGCUUGAUGAUCGAAAGCUCCGGCGGUGCAGGAUGAGCCCGCGGCCUAUCAGCUUGUUGGUGAGGUAACGGCUCACCAAGGCGACGACGGG